Molecule: long non-coding RNA, 2340 nt
Filed under: Citrus sinensis (sweet orange)
Lineage: Eukaryota; Viridiplantae; Streptophyta; Magnoliopsida; Sapindales; Rutaceae
Description: long non-coding RNA (CSIN_LNC001631)
Source: RNAcentral
AUACCAACUUAAAAUUCUUAAAGAAUUGCUUUUUCUUAGCAAGCAGAGCAGAGUAAAACCAGAGAGCUUUCGUUUGCUCUAAAUAAAACUUGAAUUGAUUUCAUUGCUUACAGGCCAACGUAUAUAUACAUAAGAAAACAAAAUGACAGCUAGCUAAAAGAUAACAAAUUCAGAUAAAACAAAAACAAUCACUAAAUCAUUGGCCAAUGAUAUAGAGCUUCUAGAAUCUUCAUCCAAUCAUCCCAUGUGCUGAUAUUCCUCUGUGUAACUGUUUUGCCACCUCAUUGAAUUCCUCUCAUUUCUUUCAUCAGCUGACUGUAAUUGUGAGUAGCUCAGGUGGCAUGCCACUGUGUCAUUGAGGUCAUCAGUUGACUGGCUGAGAUCAUGGCUGCCAUGGCUGCUAUUUUCAACACCCUCUCUCAAACACAAGGUUUUGUCAAACACCUUGAGUUUGCUUCUGAAGCAGCUAAAUUUGUAAUAAGGUAACGGCUUAGUUAGAACAUCAGUUAUUUGAUCCCUGCCUGCAACAAAACUGAUUUCCAUUUCACCUCUAGCUACCUUAUCCCUGAUAAAAUGUAGGUCUAUCUCAAAGUGUUUAGUCUUUGAAUGAAAAACAGGAUUGGUAGCCAUUGCUGCUGCACUUGUGCUAUCACUUAAGAUUGUUGGUGUUCUUUGCAUCUCUAGUUUCAGCUCACUUAGUAAGGAGCUAAUCCAUGUAAUUUCUGCAGCACAGAGGGCCAUUGCUCUGUAUUCUGAUUCAGUCGUAGAUCUAGCAACCAAACCUUGCUUUCUUGAACUCCAGGCAAUGAGAUUUCCACCCAGAAAUACACAAUAGCCACUGAUGGACCUCCUGUCAUCCAAAUCAUUUUCCCAGUCUGCAUCUGUGUAAGCCACCAAAUCAAAAUACUCUGACUUCUUGAAUUUCAGACACAUGUUCAUGGUGUUUUUAAGAUACCUCAAUACUCUUUUGCAUGCUAUCCAGUGAGGUUGCCUAGGAUCUGACAUGUAUUGGCUGAGCUUGUUCACUGAGUAAGCAAGCUCAGGCCUUGUGAGUGUUGCAUACUGCAGGCUGCCUAUAACACUUCGAUACAAUGUGGGAUCAUGAAACUUUUCUCCUUCAUUCUUCUUCAGCUUUUCUGUGGUACUGAAAGGUGAUUCAAUUCCUUUACAGUCACUCAUUUCUGUUUUGGCAAGCAAAUCUUGAAUAUACUUGGUUUGAGACAGCAAAAUGGCAUUUUGUUUUCUGUUUACCUGAAUCCCCAGAAAGAAGUUUAGCUCUCCCAAAUCCUUUAAGGCAAAGGUCCUAUUUAAGUUGCUAACCAGCUCUUCAAUACUACCACUAUUAUCACCAGUAAUAAUAAUGUCAUCAACAUAAAUAAGCAAUAUAACUAUCUCAGAUUUAGUUUUUCUGUAGAACAAUGAGGUAUCACACUUAGAAUUUUCAAAUCCCCAAGAGUUUAAGGCACCCUUCAGUUUGUCAAACCAUGCCCUGGGGGCUUGUCUCAAGCCAUACAGUGCUUUCUUUAAUCUGCAUAUGUGAUUUGGCUUGCUUUUGUUCACAAAACCUUCAGGUUGUGGCAUGUAAACCAUCUCUGUCAGCUCACCAUUCAAGAAGGCAUUGUUUAUAUCUACCUGCCUCAGCAACCAGUCAUUGUUCACUGCCAAAGUGAGGAUGAUUCUGAUUGUUACAGCCUUGACAACUAGGCUGAAAGUCUCUGUGAAAUCAAUGCCUGGAAUUUGCAAGAACCCCUUCACCACUAAUCUAGCCUUAUAUUUGUUUAUGGUUCCAUCUGGAUUUUCUUUAACUCUGUACACCCAUUUAUUUCCAAUUAGCUUGUGGCUUGAGUCAUUUGGUACCAAGGUCCAUGUUUCAUUUUUCAUCAAUGCAUUGUACUUAUCUUCCAUUGCCCUUUUCCAGCUUGGUUCUUUUAAAGCUUCUGAGGUGUUUGAGGGUAAUGCUAUGUGUGGUUGAGUAGUGAUUUGGUACAAUUUUGGUUUAAAGAUCCCUGCUUUAGAUUUUGUUACCAUAGGGUGUGAUGAUAUAACUUCUUUUGUGUUGGGUGCUGUGAUAGUGGAUGAAGGUUGGUCAUUUGCUUGAGGCUGGUGAUUUGAAUGAGGUGAGGAUAACUGAUUAUUUGAUAUCAUAUCAUUGCUUAAAUUCUGUUGUGUCUUACCUUGGUCAAGGUUCUGUGCUGAUAUUCCUCUGUGUAACUGUUUUGCCACCUCAUUGAAUUCCUCUCAUUUCUUUCAUCAGCUGACUGUAAUUGUGAGUAGCUCAGGUGGCAUGCCACUGUGUCAUUGAGGUCAUCAGUUGACUGGCUGAGAUCAUGGCUGCCAUGG